RNAcentral lists this small nuclear RNA (155 nucleotides) under Malus domestica (apple). RNAcentral describes it as "sRNA MD09G0002900". It matches the Rfam family "U2 spliceosomal RNA". Rfam says of the family: U2 is a small nuclear RNA (snRNA) component of the spliceosome (involved in pre-mRNA splicing). Complementary binding between U2 snRNA (in an area lying towards the 5' end but 3' to hairpin I) and the branchpoint sequence (BPS) of the intron results the bulging out of an unpaired adenosine, on the BPS, which initiates a nucleophilic attack at the intronic 5' splice site, thus starting the first of two transesterification reactions that mediate splicing. The record is from RNAcentral. Lineage: Eukaryota; Viridiplantae; Streptophyta; Magnoliopsida; Rosales; Rosaceae.
AUGUCUUGCUCGGCCUUUGGGCUAUGAUCAAGUGUAGUAUGUGUUGAGACUUCUCAGCAUUUUAAAGUAUUUUUGGGUUUUAUCUCGCGAUAUUAUUGAUAAUAUCGGGAUAUAUUGCCCAAAUAAUGCAUUAAAAUGCUGAUAAUAUCGACAAA